RNAcentral lists this ribosomal RNA (490 nucleotides) under uncultured bacterium. RNAcentral's name for it is "partial 16S ribosomal RNA". It matches the Rfam family "Bacterial small subunit ribosomal RNA", at positions 30 to 507 of the family's 1533-position model. The record is from RNAcentral.
AUUGAACGCUGGCGGCAGGCUUAACACAUGCAAGUCGAACGGUAACAUAGAGAAGCUUGCUUCUUUGAUGACGAGUGGCGGACGGGUGAGUAAUGCUUGGGAAUCUGGCUUAUGGAGGGUGAUAACUACGGGAAACUGUAGCUAAUACCGCGUAAUAUCGAAAGAUUAAAGUGUGGGACCUUCGGGCCACAUGCCAUAGGAUGAGCCCAAGUGGGAUUAGGUAGUUGGUGAGGUAAAGGCUCACCAAGCCGACGAUCUCUAGCUGGUCUGAGAGGAUGACCAGCCACACUGGGACUGAGACACGGCCCAGACUCCUACGGGAGGCAGCAGUGGGGAAUAUUGCGCAAUGGGGGCAACCCUGACGCAGCCAUGCCGCGUGAAUGAAGAAGGCCUUCGGGUUGUAAAGUUCUUUCGGUAGCGAGGAAGGUGGUUAGUUUAAUAGGCUAGCCAAUUGACGUUAACUACAGAAGAAGCACCGGCUAACUCCGUG